AAUUAAAUAUUAGGGUGUAAUUAUUGUUUCACUAAAAAUUUAUAUAAAACAUUUUUAGAUUUAGUAAAGGUGAUUAAAAUUUAUUUUAUUAUACCUGAGAAAAGUACUGUGAAGGAACAUAUAUAAAUUAUAAGAAAGAAAAAACUAAAAUUUGUACCUUUUGCAUCAUGGUUUAACUAGAUAUUUAUUUUGAAUUUAAAUGUCUCGAAACCUAAUGAGCUAUUUUUGCUCAAGAUAUUAGAAAUAAAAGAGUAGUUGUAGCAAAAACUUUCCUAGAAAUAAAAAUAGAAAUGAGAUUUUAUGCGUAUUAGGUGAUAGCUAGUUCUUCUAAAAGGCAUAUAAGUGCUUUAAAUUGAUUUUAUUUUCAUGAUAACAAAAUGAAAUAAACUUUGAUUUGGUUAGAUUUUUGAGGAUAAGCUCGAAAAUUGUAAAUUAUAUUUGCAUAUUAUUUUAAUUAAAAUCUAAGCUUGAAAAUAGCUACGAUUUUGAUUUUGUUACAAUUUCAUUAAAUUUAUAAAAAAAUAAUUAAUUUGCUUAUGUAUAAAAGAAGAAAACUUUAAAACUUAAAUAAGUUGAACAUAUGUUAAAAUGAGUAUUAAGUAAUUUAUAAAAUUUCAAUAUUAUAUACUUUGAAAUUUAUGUUUUUAUAUUAAAUUUAAAUUAUAAAAAGGAACUCGGCAAAUACAUAUUCUGCCUGUUUAGCAAAAACAUGGCUCCUUGUCUAAAGUAAAUAAGGAGUCGGACCUGCCCAGUGAAUUUUUUUAACGGCCGCGGUCCUCUGCCCGUGCAAAGGUAGCAUAAUCAUUUGCCUUAUAAUUGAAGGCUAGUAUGAAUGGUUUGACAAGAAUAUAGCUGUCUCUUUAUAAUUAAAUAGAAUUUUAUUUUUAGGUGAAAAAGCCUGUAUUAAAUUAAAAGACAAGAAGACCCUAUCGAGCUUUAAAAAAAUAAGUAGGUUAUUUUAUAAUAAUACUUAAAAAAUUAACUAUUAAAAAUUUUAGUUGGGGCGACUGAGGAACAAAAAGAGCUUCCUUUAAAAAUAGGAAACCAUACUAGUAUUGAUCCAGAAUUAUUCUGAUUAAAGAAAUUAGUUACCGUAGGGAUAACAGCAUUAUCUUUUUCAAGAGCUCUUAUCGAAAAAAAGGUUUGUGACCUCGAUGUUGGACCAGAAUAUCCUAAAGAUGCAGCAGUCUUUAAAGGUUGGUCUGUUCGACCAUUAAAAUUCUACGUGAUCUGAGUUCAGACCGGCGUGAGCCAGGUCAGUUUCUAUCUUUAAUUUUUUAAAUAGACUUAGUACGAAAGGACCAGCCUAUUGUAAUGUUAUUACUAAAUAUGAUAUUAUAUAAUUUAUAAUUAGAUAA
This 1358-nucleotide ribosomal RNA is filed under the name Burnupena cincta. Its description in RNAcentral is "16S ribosomal RNA". The stretch from base 908 to 1274 matches the Rfam family "Bacterial large subunit ribosomal RNA", at positions 2072 to 2648 of the family's 2925-position model. The record is from RNAcentral. Lineage: Eukaryota; Metazoa; Mollusca; Gastropoda; Neogastropoda; Buccinidae.